Molecule: long non-coding RNA, 3533 nt
Organism: Pangasianodon hypophthalmus (striped catfish)
Lineage: Eukaryota; Metazoa; Chordata; Actinopteri; Siluriformes; Pangasiidae
Exons: 3
Source: RefSeq, a predicted model, not a curated record
GCCCGGUUCUGUCAACACUGCACUGGCUCCCUAUUAAACAUCGUAUACAUUUUAAAAUCUUGCUAAUUACCUACACUCAAAAAAAGGAAUUUUGCUGGCUGUUGCAUUUACUUAAGUGCAACGUGUGUUUUGUACUACCUAAUUUAAUGUUAAAUUAAAUAAACAUGAAUAAAUCUCAUAAGAUUUGCUUGAAAUUCAACUGCUUAGCUUUCACUUGAUUCGAUUUUGUCAAAAUAACAAGAAACAAUCAAGUACCCACGCGCUUCCUGGAAAAUGAUUACCUUUAUCGCGAUAACACGUCCCGAGAUGAAGAUUUGAAAUAACGUAAAGAAAACACCUGAGGGAAGCCGUUGAUGAGCGCGCACAUGGAAAGGUCCAUCUUGCUAUUUGCACAGUAAACACAUUCAAAGGCGUUAUAGUGGGAUAGGUGGUAUGUGGAGUUGUAAGGGUUGCACAGAAACUGUAUCAAGUAGGUCCAAGCUUUUGCAUCACUACAAGUUAAAGCAUCCACAUUUUGGACGUAGUUCUCGCUUUCCAUGUACGUACCAUCACUGUCCAUGCACAUUUAAGACAUGGAAUGCACUUAUAGUCCAUCAAAGUAAAAUUCACUCAGCAGAGGACACCUCUAAACAGACAGCAAUAUUCAGCUGCCACCUUUGCGCUUGUGGUGAUUUAGCAUCAGAGAGGGAUUAUUUUGCUCAUAUAAAUGCACAUCUCAAAAGACAUGAGACUGUCAUCUGUAUGUUUUUAGGCUGUGACUUUAAAACAAACAUUUAUUGCACAUUUAAAUCACACAAAAAUCGAAAACACUGCCAUCACACAUUGAUUGAUUUUAAACCUAGAGUUGUUAUAAGUAGAACAUGAUCUGUGAAUGAAUUGGUGGCCACUAGUCAGGACUUUGUAGAGCAGUCAGAUAUUGCCAUUCCAUCAAAUAGUCACUGUCAAACAGAGGACUUGCAUAAAAUCAUAGAGCAAAGAUUUGCAGCUGCCUUGCUAAAGUUGGAGCAUUUGGUCCAUGUACCAAGUACGGCUAUUGAUGUAUUUUUAGAGGAACGUCAUCAUCUGAUUUGUUCUGCACCCGUUCCAUUAUCUUGUGACACUGUGAGUGACAUCUUUCAACAGAAAAACCUCCAUGUCGAUGAACUUACAAUAAGAGAUACGGUUAAUGCAGUUUGUUCUGGUAAUCCUGUGCAAAGGUCUAUACAAAAAGGAGGUCCUCUGAGUACAGUAUAUCUGCGUAAGCAGUACUACAAGAACAACUUUGGUGUUAUAGAGCCAGCUGAGUACAUUCUUGGGUUCUAAAAACAAAAGCAGUUUCCAAUAUGUCCCAAUAUUGAAGUCCCUACAGCAGCUGUUAAGUAGAAGGGAAAUUAUUGAUAAAGUUACUGAGGGACAUCAAAGACAGGAAGGCAAAUGUUCUGUAGUGUCAUAUCAGUACAGGUCCUCAACAGACGGUUGCCUCUUUAAGGAAAAUGGUUUCUUUACUGGAGAAAGGCCAAGGAUUAUCUUAAGUUUUUAUGUGGAUGAUUUUGAAAUCUGUAACCUCCUCGGCACCUCGCGUAAGAAACACAAGCUUUGUGCUGUUUAUUGGGUAUUAGCUAACUUGCCUCCAGGGUCUCAUUCCUCGUUGUCAUCUAGUAACUUGUCAGUUUUGUGUAAAAGCGAUGACAUUAAAACCUAUGGAUAUGAUAAAAUCUUUGAACCUCUUCUAGAAGACCUGAAAACUCUGGAGGGGCAGGGUGUUUAUAUCCCGCUGUUAGGUGAGUCAAUUAAAGGCACAGUACUCAGUGUAGUGGCUGAUAACCUAGGAUCACACAGUGUUGCAGGAUUUAUGCAGAGUUUUUCUGUGGAAUACUUCUGCAGAUUUUGUACAGGAAAAAGAAGUGAUAUUCAGGUACAUUCUGUUGCUUUCACUUUGAGAACUAAAGAGCAUCAUCAGGCCCAUGUCAAACAAGUGCAAGAUUUAGGAACAAAUUGUUUUGGAGUGAAAAAGGAAUGUGUCUUCACAAAAAAUUUCUCAUUUUCCUGUCAUCUUUGGCUAUCCACCUGAUCUUCUCCAUGAUGUUUUUGAGGGUGUAAUCCCAGUAGAGCUAGCUCAUUGCUUGACUGUGCUUAUAUCCAAAAAGUAUUUUACAUUAGUUGAUCUGAACAAUGCCAUUCUUAAGUUUCCCUACAAAUGGACUGACAAGACGAACAAACCCCAUGUAGUGUCCCGAAGUUUUUCCAGCACAAAAACAGUGGGAGGAAAUGCUCAUGAAAACUGGAGCCUGCUCAGGUUCUUGCCUUUUCUGGUUGGGCCACUUGUACCUGAAGAUGAGCCUGCGUGGCUUGUUCUCAUGGAUCUGAAGGACAUAACAGAGCUUGUUGUUGCCCCUGUACAUAGUGAUGACUCGCUGGCCUUUUUAGAAAGUAAAAUCAUAGAGCACAGACAGAGAUUCAAAGAGUUGUUCCCUGACAUCAAGCUGCUAACCAAAACACCAUUAUUUGGAACACUACCCCCAGAUGAUUAGGCUGUUUGGUCCAGUUGUUGGGCAGUGGACGAUGCGCUUUGAGGCUAAGCAUAGCUUCUUUAAGCAAGUUAUCAGACACACAGGGUGCUUCAAGAAUGUCCCCCUCUCACUGGCCUCAAAGAAUCAGAUGAUGUUUGCUUACCAUCUGAGCUCUCCAUGUCUGAGAAGUCUGACCUAGAGGUCUCAGCUGUACCGACUCUGCCAGUAGACUUACUCAAAGAAGAGAUAGCGCAAGUCAUCAAGCAACAGGUCUCUCACACAACAGAGGUUCACCUUGACAGUGUGUAAAAGUCAAGGGCAUAACCUAUAGGAAGGGAAUGAUACUGGUCCACAAGUCUGUAGGUGGAUUGCCUGAAUUUAGUGAAAUUGACCAAAUCUGUAUUUUACAAGAGAAUGUGUUCUACAUUGUCAAAGAGCUCUGUGGUUGGCACAGAGAGCACUAUAGAGCCUUUGAACUCAGCACAGCACCCACAAGAAGUUUCACUCUUGUGACAGUCAGUGAACUUCUUGAUACUUAUCCACUAGCUGACUACAGGAUUGGAGCUACUCGCAUGGUGACUUUGAAAAGGCAUAUUGAAAUACAAGGUGGGCUAGCACCUGGGAACGGUCUUGUCUACUUUGUUAAAAGGGAAAUUCAACCUGCACCAUAUUUGCAGAUGCUUUUCUAGAUAAGUAAUUGAAAAGUAGGCUUUAACCUCUGAAAUUUAAAUGUGAAACAAUGGAUAUCUGAUUUAUAAUCUUUUUGUAUUUUAUGUGUUUGAGCAGAGUAAACAGCAGUGAAGAUGGGUACACCUAUGAUCCUUAAAAUCAUCCUGACCGAUGGCAGCUCUCAGAGGUUGACACUUUCUCAUGGACUACCUGCAUCUAUUGAUGACCUCAUGGUUGAAGUAAAGAAACAGUGCGGACUUCAAGGCAAUUUUAAACUUCAGUUUAUGGAUUCCUUGUUUGGAAAUGAUUUCCUUAACCUUACUUCAAUUUCAGAAGUCCAAGAUAAAGGCACACUUAAAAUAAUUGAUAUGUCAA